Molecule: long non-coding RNA, 1999 nt
Organism: Monomorium pharaonis (pharaoh ant)
Lineage: Eukaryota; Metazoa; Arthropoda; Insecta; Hymenoptera; Formicidae
Exons: 2
Source: RefSeq, a predicted model, not a curated record
GUAAAUAAAUUAUUUAUUUUUACGCACACUAGAUGUUAUCUCUUUAAAUAAGGUAUUUUACAGAAAUAUAUUUCAGAAGUAUAUGUCACAGAAUAUUUUACCAAAAUGUAUAUUUUGUUUUUACAAAUAAAUUUUUUUAUUACAAAUAAAUAUCAAAGAAAAUGUCACAAGAAAUAUUUAAUUCUCAAUAUUUCGAUACAUUUUUUUCUCAGUGUAUACUUAAUUUAGAAAACAAGUAAUUCUUAUGCGUCUUUAAAAUAUAUGCUUUAUACAAACCAUUAUUUUUAUUUUUGUAUUACUAUAUAAUGUACUAAAAUAUUCAUUUUUAACAUAAAUCUGUCAAUAUAAUAAAUAUAGAAAAAAGUAAUUUCUGACUUGUUAUAUUGAUACUCUUAAAAUAAUGUAGUCUUUAUGAUAAUGCAAGAAAGAUUACUAUACAUUAAACUUAAAGUUCAUUUAAAAUAAUGUAUCAAAAUUGUUCGUUUAAGUGCAGUAAUAUAGUAAAAUUAAAAAAUAAGAAAUAUAUAAUUUACUAAUCAGGAAAUUACGUAAGAUUUAAAAAUAGUUACACUAAUAGUUGAUAUUAAACAGUUCACGAAUAGAAAUUGUGAUGUUCGGCACUUGUAUGCGUGGAUCUCUGACCAUGGCAGCCGGUAAAUAAUGAUUAUCGGAAAUUUGAAAAAGCAAUCGCGUCGUACAUGGUCGCGCUCUUCCGACCUUCGCAAUCCGUUAGCGUCGAUAUCGACGGUAACUUUGUACUUCGUAUCCUAUCUCUUUCUAUGAGCAAAAAUAGCGAACAGCGGAUAUCACUGCGCAGUUGCAUUCCCGCUUUUUACGCGAUAAGCAUGAAAUCUUCCGCGGGUUCGACUUUUCAGUCGAGGACGCUUGCAAGUAAUACUUAUUUUACGCGGUAAACGAUAAGAUAGAAGACCUCCGCAUAAUAGCACAAAAUAUGUUUUAGGUAAAAUAGUAACAGUUAGGAUUAUUUAAGCAGACAUUGUGUUUUACAUCGUAAAAUACUGAUGUCCUUGAACUUCUCGCUCUUGAGCAAGCCGUCGAGAUGCAAUAACGUUCAUUCACGUGAACAACGUGAGAAUGCGGGAUGAUGUCAACAAUGCACCCCUGCAAUUUGCGGCAGCCCUCUCUCGCACCUCUUGGGAGCUAAGAAUAACUAUCACCAUCCGGUCAGGCAUGGAGAUGGACGUCAGUCGCGUGACCUAGUUUUAAUCGGCGAACAUUCUUCUACUAAUUAACUAUGUACGACCACUUUAGAAGUCGCUGGUGACGCCACGACGCCUGAUAAUAUAUGAACGAUUCUUGCUUUAUCGGAGGCGACGUGAAAAGCUCACGAAAAGAAUAUUAAAUAAUAACGAGAAAAUCUGAAAGUUCUCUGAUUCCGAUUCUAAAGUCCGAAAGUCGUGGAAGUUUGGGUUUAACGAGCAAUCUUAAAGCGGAAGCGACGAUAAUCGAAGACGAAUGUAAUGCGAUCAAUCGCGAUUAAAUUCGGAGGACCAAAAUAUUUAAAAUUUUAACACGUCUUGGACCAAAACUUUCUAAAAUGUAGUAAUGAGUUUCAAUUAUUAUGUUAAUCCUCUAAGACCCAAUGGGACCUUGUGUCCCACACAUUCAAAUACGUUAAAAUAUACUAUAGUUUUAUAAUUUAGGAAUCUUAUCAAUAGAGCUGUUUUAAAUAGGCCUUGAUAAAACUGUCUAUACUAUCAGAGCCCCAGAUUCAUCAAUGAGCCUGUUAAAAAAAUAAUAUAGUGUCAGCGUUGUUAACAAAAGUGCGUGCAUGUUGCGUUUGCUGAAAAUUAUUUAAUUUAAAGUAAGUAAAAAUGUUUUUUAUAGUAUAAUAAACGUACAUUAAUAAAAAGUAGACUUAAUUGAAUAAAUACACUACUUAAAAUUGCUUCCUAGAUUUAUUAUGUGAAGAGCUGUCAUUUUAAAGUUAUGAUUCGUCACAUUUCAACACCCAUGUUUUGUCACCCCAAAAAAAAAA